RNAcentral lists this transfer RNA (72 nucleotides) under Microtendipes umbrosus. Its description in RNAcentral is "tRNA-Lys". Lineage: Eukaryota; Metazoa; Arthropoda; Insecta; Diptera; Chironomidae. RNAcentral also lists the same sequence under 2 other names. The record is from RNAcentral.
CAUUAGAUGACUGAAAAGCAAGUAAUGGUCUCUUAAACCAAAAUAUAGUAAAUUAGUAAUUACUUUUAAUGA